UACGGGGGGGCAAGCGUUGUUCGGAAUUACUGGGCGUAAAGGGCUCGUAGGCGGCCAACUAAGUCAGACGUGAAAUCCCCAGGCUUAACCUGGGAACUGCGUGUGAUACUGGAUGGCUUGAAUUCGGGAGAGGGAUGCAGAAUUCCAGGUGUAGCGGUGAAAUGCGUAGAUAUCUGGAGGAACACCGGUGGCGAAGGCGGCAUCCUGGACCGGUAUUGACGCUGAGGCGCGAAAGCCAGGGGAGCAAACGGG
RNAcentral lists this ribosomal RNA (252 nucleotides) under uncultured bacterium. Its description in RNAcentral is "partial 16S ribosomal RNA". It matches the Rfam family "Bacterial small subunit ribosomal RNA", at positions 524 to 776 of the family's 1533-position model. The record is from RNAcentral.